AUCCUCGCUACACUUUCUUUGGAAGCCA
This 28-nucleotide non-coding RNA is filed under the name Rattus norvegicus (Norway rat). The record is from RNAcentral. Lineage: Eukaryota; Metazoa; Chordata; Mammalia; Rodentia; Muridae.